Molecule: long non-coding RNA, 1009 nt
Filed under: Pan troglodytes (chimpanzee)
Lineage: Eukaryota; Metazoa; Chordata; Mammalia; Primates; Hominidae
Description: lncRNA (ENSPTRG00000054216.1)
Source: RNAcentral
UUUGAAAAAAUAUAUUCAACCAGCUUAAUUUUUCUAAUUUUGUUUUUGUUAAAUCCUGUUUUCUUAUUAACUAUUGAUUGCUAAGCAGCAGGCAGUGUGCUAAGUACGUUACCUGGAUUAUCCGGUUAAUCCUUCCAAUAGCUACACGGUGAAGACACAGAUGUCCACAUCUUCUGCAGAUAAGGAAACUGAGGGGUAAUAAUAAAUAAUUUGCACAACACAGCACAAAGCUGAGGAGCCAACACUGGACCUGACGAAGUCCCAUUCUGGAAGCCAAACUCCCAACUGCUAAGCUCUGCUUGAAUUCUCAUUGAGCAUCUCGCUUCUUUAAAGUUUCAACAACUCAGCAGUCUAUAAUCCAACUCGCCUUCUCCGCAAUGCCAAAAGUGCAAUGAGCUUCAUGCUGAAUACUGAUUUGAAGUGUGGUUCACCACACAGACUUAAAUUGUCCUUCCCACAACUUUAUCUGAGAAGCCUGACAACGGUGACAAUCACAGGACUAGUUUUAUUGGUCAGGAUGUGGUGUUACUAUAUUAAAGCGCUUCAGGUUUUCAUAGCGCUCGUCAAACAGAGACCUCGGAACACUCUGCAGACAUUAAUUAAUGUUCGCUCCGGCCCUGGAAGCCAUUUCACCAAUGGAAAUUCCGAUGAGAAAAAGGAAGAAACGAGGGGUUCAAGGCCGCGCCGUUGUGAGUCCGCUGCGGAACUAGGAACUGAAACCCCGUGGUUCCCAAUGAGCCAGCGAAAGUCUGUCGAAGUAUUGAGCACCCCUAUUGAAGACUGUGGGAGUUUUGGCGGCUUAAUGGGAUUGUGUUCGGUCCUUCAGGCUCUCCUUUAAAAGAUUCCAUGGCACCAACGAGACUCCAAUAAAAGGGCCUCUCUAAUUGCUUUCUGACUUUCUAUGAAACUUUCUAAGCUAUGCUGACAUCCUCGAAUACAACUAUGGAAUUAAAGAGGAGAGAAAGGCGAGGCACAGUGGGUGCGCAAAGAAAAAGAGGUUCUCAGCGGA